Molecule: ribosomal RNA, 496 nt
Filed under: uncultured bacterium
Lineage: Bacteria
Description: partial 16S ribosomal RNA
Rfam family: Bacterial small subunit ribosomal RNA
Source: RNAcentral
GACGAACGCUGGCGGCGUGCCUAAUACAUGCAAGUUGAGCGCUGAAGGUUGGUACUUGUACCAACUGGAUGAGCAGCGAACGGGUGAGUAACGCGUGGGGAAUCUGCCUUUGAGCGGGGACAACAUUUGGAAACGAAUGCUAAUACCGCAUAAAAACUUUAAACACCAGUUUUAAGUUUGAAAGAUGCAAUUGCAUCACUCAAAGAUGAUCCCGCGUUGUAUUAGCUAGUUGGUGAGGUAAAGGCUCACCAAGGCGAUGAUACAUAGCCGACCUGAGAGGGUGAUCGGCCACAUUGGGACUGAGACACGGCCCAAACUCCUACGGGAGGCAGCAGUAGGGAAUCUUCGGCAAUGGACGAAAGUCUGACCGAGCAACGCCGCGUGAGUGAAGAAGGUUUUCGGAUCGUAAAACUCUGUUGGUAGAGAAGAACGUUGGUGAGAGUGGAAAGCUCAUCAAGUGACGGUAACUACCCAGAAAGGGACGGCUAACUACGUG